This is a long non-coding RNA of Solanum pennellii, 275 nucleotides long. RefSeq lists it as uncharacterized. The transcript has 2 exons. The record is from RefSeq and is a predicted model, not a curated record. Lineage: Eukaryota; Viridiplantae; Streptophyta; Magnoliopsida; Solanales; Solanaceae.
CAAGCUGAAGAACUAAAGGUUCGAAGUGAAGAGAGGUGAAGAUAGCUGAAGAAGUAGUUCUCUUUUCUGAUACAAGCUAAAGAUUCGAUGAACUGAGCUGAAGAGUUGAACGAUUCCUUGAAGAGUAAGAACGAUUUCUUUAAGAAAGAAAUGAAUAUUGUUGGGUUGUUGACAUGAUGAUGAACUGAAGCUAAUUAGUCUCUCCGUCACACUUUUCUCUCAAGUGUCUCACUGAAGAACACGAUUUCAAAGAGAUUUUGUUGGAUUUGGGUUUA